GUCUGAGAAAAAAAAAACAAAUACCUGAUAAAAGAACUAUAAGAACAAACAACAGCAGCUUUGCCAGUCACUAAACUGGACAAAUAAGUUUUUAAAAAAAACUCUACCUCUUGACAGAGUCCAAUGGUACUCCGCUUUGUUGUGGAUGAACAACACACAUCAACUGUAGUGGACGUUGUCAAGUAUAAUCGGAUAUACAUCUUGAUUAAAUGCCGAUACAGGAGCCUAAAUUGCUUUCGAAAAAUUGAAACCUCAAACCAGAACACAAAAUCCCUUUAAAAACUGAUCUCUCAAUAUGUAUACUUAUUUCAGACAAGCCCCUCGUUAGCUCUAUAUGAUCAGCUAUGGCUGAAAUGCAUAUUAAGUGGAAUGUUUAUUAACAUUCACAGCCCACUUAAUUUUCUUAAAGCACUUCUAAGAAUCUUCAGAGCUCCUAUGCCGCGAUUCCUCUAUUCGAUUGUCUAUUUGCAAUACUAUAAUUUCCAAUAUAAUUUUCAGAGUCUUUCGCUGAAUCGUCUGCUGGAUUUUCAAGUCCAUAUCCAAAUGUAUUAGAGCCCUCCAUAUCAGAAGACACAGUUUGCCAUGUUGAAUCACCAUACAUGGAGCCACUGCGAUAUAAAUCUCCAUAAGACCCCUCAUAAGCACCACCUGAUGCAGCAAAUGAAGUUGGGACACCACCUGCUGCAUUGCUUCUUGCAAGUCCUCCAGAUCCCAGCCCAUAACUUCUUCCCCCAUUCCUGAACCCAACAUUCCGACCACCAUAUCCAGAAGCACUACCAACUGGAGCAGAAACAGCCGAUGAGCCCCAAUUGGCACCAUUAUUCCCAAAGACCCCAUAACCACCAGUUCCGGAUCCCAAAAAUGAACCGGAGCUACCAGGACCUGGAGAACUGUUAAGUCCACCAUUUCCCCAUACAUUCCUGGUUGGUGAGCUAAGCAAAGAAUCACCUCUAUUGCUGCCUGUGUUAUAUCCAAUGGGUGUAGUGUAUCUGCUUGAGUUGCCAGUGAAAUACGGGUUCAGAGCCCGCCCAUAACCAAGAUUGUUGCUAAAAUUGGAAGCUCCUGCAAAGGUGGGGCUCAAAGCUGGGUCCAAAUUGACACCCAUUCCAUAAGCAGGAGAAGAAAACUGAGAGAAACUUGUACGUCCGCUGGCAACUGGACUAAAUCUACCAUCCAUCCUGACCCCAUAUCCU
This 1193-nucleotide unclassified non-coding RNA is filed under the name Hevea brasiliensis (rubber tree). The record is from RNAcentral. Lineage: Eukaryota; Viridiplantae; Streptophyta; Magnoliopsida; Malpighiales; Euphorbiaceae.